AGCUGGCAAAGCUUGAUCCAUGCACUCACAUCUACUCAAGGAAUGACUGGAGAACCUUGACCAAGUGUCCAUCAGCCUGCUUACCAUGGAGGAAGAUCAUUAUCUCAAAGGUCCUGCUUAGAGCAUCUAAUAUGUGGCAUUCCUCAGCUCCAUCACUAUAGCAACAGGGUGUGUCAACACAAGAAGCCAACAAGAUCUUUGAAGGUGACAGGAAUUUUUUUUCAAUGUUUGAUCUCCACCUGCACAGACUAUAUUUGGACCUGGACAUCAUCUCUCUUCUUUUCUAUGAAAUCCCAUGCUCCUGUUCCUAUCUCAGAAGUUUCACUGCACACCCUGAAUAAAAUCUGUCUCAUCAUCUUUAAUAAUGCUAUGAUCUUUUUCUUUAAUGCUGUUCCUAUCAUGUAUAAGAAGUUAUAACUACAUUAAAACCAA
Meriones unguiculatus (Mongolian gerbil) is the source of this 432-nucleotide long non-coding RNA. RefSeq lists it as uncharacterized. Lineage: Eukaryota; Metazoa; Chordata; Mammalia; Rodentia; Muridae. The transcript is spliced from 3 exons. The record is from RefSeq and is a predicted model, not a curated record.